GCCACAACAGUGAGAGGCCCGCGUACCGCAAAAAAAAAAAAAAAAGAAAUGACAAAGGGGUCAGAAGUAUGGCAAGUUAGCUAUGAAAACGAAAGUGGAAGUUAUGGUUCUCUUUGUUCUGCAAUAGUAUAAAAAUAGUAUAUCUUUUCAUCAAGAUAGGAAAAGACAAAGAAAAAUGAUAAGUACUUUUAUACGGUUUCUGGCCAGGGGGUGUCCAUUCUGCUGGAUCACGUGCACAGUUCCUAUGCAUGCUACCCCCAAGAUGGUUUGAUCCCUUUGUUGGGGAGCCUCCCUCCCCUCUCUGGCCUCAGCUUCGCCACGGGUAGAAGUAUGGGAUUGGGCUGGGCCUUCUUUCCCUGGGCGAGCUGUUGUCAGAGUUCUUUUCCAAUACGCCACCCUGGCACUCUCUUCUCUCCCUACUCCCUCUUCUGUUGAGAAACCCCGGCCUGGAAUCCGAGGUCCCUUCCAGUUUCCAAGAUUCUUGUCUUGGCCCCAGGUUACACCCUUCAGUCAGCAGGAAGGAACAGUGUGUUGUGUGUUCUGUCCCAAGGCCCUCCGCAGCCUUCCCAAGGCCCUCAGCCCAAAGAUCAGGGCUGUGCUGGGGAAUUUCUCUCUCCCUCUGACAUGCACAGCGCCCCAAGCCUGGAGCUGCGUGGAAGGGAGUUGUGUUUGCAGAGAUUUCUGAGGACCUGUUGGAGAGCCUGAGCCUUAGCUGGCUCUAAGAAAGGGCUCUCUGACCUCGGGCAAGUCCCUUAAGUUCUCUGAGCUUCAGUUUCCUCAUUUGUAAAACAGAAUAGCCUCACCCCCUGUGAUCAGAAGGCUUCUGAGAAGGUAAAACGAGACGGGGUAAUGUGUGUUAACCCUUAGCACAGUGCCGGGCACACAGCUGAGGCUCCUUUUGGAGAACCACCGGAAGAGGUUCUGCUGGAGAUGAUGCUGGAGAGAUGACACAGGCGGAGAUAAAACACAGUGCAUCUCAAGGCGCAGUAACUAGAACUGAUCAGCGUGACCGUCCACGUCAGUCCUCCUGGUCCUGAUUCUUCCUCAGGGCCAGCGGGCGCCUCUUCCAGGACCGCAGAGGGAGGAGGCCGGUGCUCAGCUGGCUGCCUCUGUGGUUAAGGAGGAGACCCCCGGCCCCGCCCCGCCCUCUGCACAUCCUCAGAGGGAGCAGGGCCAUGAUGGAAUGGUCCGGAGCACCCAGAGAAAUGCAAACAGGAUGUGUGUGUGAUUGCGGUUUCCACCAGGAGCUUUGACACCAUCCGAGAGAUAAACUUCUUUGGGGCUUUCCUCUGUACUACAGAAUCAUAGAACAGUAGACCUGGAAGGGGACUUGGGGAUGAUCUGAUGUGGCCUUUACAUCUUACAGGUGAGCCUAGAGAAGGUAAGAAACUUGCCUAAAGACACACAGCAAGUUAGCAGCAGAAUUGGGCUGAGAACCCAGAUUUCCUUUAUAGGAAGCUAUUUCCUGACUGUUAGGCUGCUUCCUACUGGGUCCUCUUAAUUAUCCUGUGAGGUAGGUAAGGUACGCAUUAGCCCAUGGAACCGACGAGGAAAUUAAGACCCAGAGACUAAAUGGCGCGCCAGAAGUCCCCUGGGACCAGUUCAGGCUACGUCACACUGCACUGCAGGGGUGAUGAGUAUGGAGCUGUGCUCGCUCCAGGGAUGGCGUCUGGGUCUGGGUCCAGGUCUGCCUCCCUGGGACUCCCCUUGGCAGAUCCUCUGAAAAUGGGGUCUACAGUUUCCUGGGCUACAGACCAGACCUUUAAUGUGCUCGUUAGUUUUGAUACUUUCAACUUCAGAGGGAAGAGUCAAAGCCCUGAAAAUAGACAAGAUCUGGAUGGAGCCAGUCCCAAGACCAGAUGGGCCUUUGCAUCCACACCUCCCUGGCUUCCUGGGACUGGCUUGACUUUCUCUCUGGGCCCCGACCCACCUCAAUGUCCAGGCCCUUUCUGUCUCCCAUGGGGGCCUGAAGAGACCUGGUGAGUCUCCCAGCCUCUUUGAGGAGCCCAGCAGUGGGGCUGGGGGAUUCAGGGAGGGGAAUACCUGGGGCUAGAGUCGUCUUUGCUGAGAGUCCCAGGUGGCGGGGGGUGGGUGAGGGUGGGCAGUGAUGAGGGAUAGUGGAAUGGACUGGGUGAGGAGAUGGGGUGUGGGGACCAUGAAAGAGGGGAGCAGAGAAGUGGAGGGGGUACGGGGGCGAGAGGCUGGAACAGCAGCAAGUUUCUGAGACGGUUGGGCCAGGCGAGAGCAGCGCUGGGCUUUGUUUGUGUUUAUCAGUUCCAGAUGUCACGCUCAGCUGUCACUGAAGGAAGCGUGGGCUUCAAGACCCAGGGCCCACUGCUCACACUGCUUCUCCACCACUGAGUUCAAGGAAAACAUGACAUAGAAGAGUCUGGAAUGGGGGUGGGGACUGCGAGAGGAAUCCUGGCCAGAGGCCAGGGCACCCUGAUUCCGUGAGUGGAGUGGGCACUGGGGAAGCUGGCUCCAGGGGUCUGCAGGGGCCUCGAGUCCUGCCCCUCAGAAAGGGGUGAGUGUGGAUCUGAGAUCGCUCAGCCUGAUACUCGGUGUCACGUUUGGGACCCAGGCGACACUCAGCUGAGGUUGUCCAUUUAUUUUGUUAUUACCUCCUUUCCUUCUUCCUCUGUCCAACAGCCUGCUCUUUUAGAGAUUCAUUCGUAAAACAGUCUCCACUUUUUUUCUUCUCUCUUGAUGGGAGUAAGAUAAGAAUGCGGGGAUCUGCUUGUGGUCAGAAGCAGCGCUCUGUCUGAAUGGACAAACACUAGUGGCCAGCGGACCCGGGACUGGAGCAUUUGUCCCGCUGCUAGAACUUUGUCCCUGUACCCUCUGUUUAUGGGCUGAACUGUGUCCCCCCCACCAGUUAAUAUGUUGAAAUUCUAACCCCCAGUACUUCUGAAUGUGACUGUAUUUUGAGAUAGGGUCUUUCAAGAGGGGAUUAAAUUAAAAUGAGGCAGUUAGGGUGAGCCCUAAUCCAAUCUGACUAGUGUCUUCAUAAGAAGAGAUUAGGACACACAGAGAGCCACCAGGGAUGUGCACGCACAGAGGAAAGGCCGUGUGAAGACGUGACAAAAAGGCGGCUGUCUGCCAGCCAAAGGGAAACGCCUCGGCAGAAACCAAACCUGCCAUCAUCUUGACCUUUGACUUCCAGCUUCCAGAACUGUGGGAAAAUAAAUGUCUGUUGUUUAAGCUACCCAGUCUGUGGUAUUUGUUAUGGCGGCCCAAGCAAACUAAGACGCCCCCAACUCCCCAUAUCCGUGCUUAUCACUGAGGAGAGAGAGGGAGCAAGGCCACUGGGGGGUACUUGGCAAGGCUGACGCAAGGCCAUAGGGACGGCUCUGCAAUUCCUCUAGACUGGAGAGCACAGUCACUUGUCCAUGUGGCAGCUGGGCCCUCUCGUUGCCCAGCUGUGAGCCCACCUAACUGCCUGGCCGUGGUGGGUCCCCUUUGUUGCCCAGCCACAGCAGCUCCAGCCAUGGGAGUGCUUGGGAGGCAAGCCCAGCACCCUGUAGCGGAUUCCUGCAAGUCCAACCUGCACGUGGAUACGUCUUUCUGACCCAGCACUCACCCUGACCCUGGGCUGGUUUUAUGACCGAAGUCUGGCUCUCUGCACACUUUUUUGUGAGUGAGACUGUAAAAAUCCUGAUGCAUUUUCCAGAAGCACAUCACGCAUGGUGAAAACCCUCAUGCCAGGCGGUGGAGCCACUCUCAGAGAGAAAGUGAGAAAAUGAAUGAGUGAAUGCCAGGCUGCACUAGAGGCUAUUGGCCAGACAUUGAAUGAGCUUCUCCUGUGUACACAUGUUUCAGUAGGUGCUAGGGAGACUGCACAGGUGAAUCAGAUAGCAUCCCAGCCCUCUAGACACUUCAGUUUUAAGGAAAAAGGCAGCUAUAUGCAUCUAGAGCUCUGGAUACGGGCCAACUGUGGUUUGAUUCUAAGAUGGAGGUGUCAGCAAGGUAUGCUCCAUGUGUGAGGGGAGAGAGGACAUGAAAGGAUUCUUGGACACUCAACAAACUAAGAGUAGAAGGAAAUUAUCUCAAUAUAAUAAAGGCCAUAUAUGAAAAGCCCAUAGCUAACAUCAUACUCAGUGGUGAAAAAGGGAAAUAGUUUCCUCUAAUAUCAGAAACUAGGGAAAGGAGGCCCACUCGCACCAUUUCUAUUCAAUGUAAUACUGGAAGUCCUAGCCAGAGCACUCAGGCAAGAAAAAGAAAUAAAAGGCACCUAAAUCAGAAAGGAAGAAGUAAAGUAAUCUCUGUUUAUAGAUGAAAUAAUCUUGUAUGUGGAAAACCCUGAAGAUUCCACAAAAGCCUCUUAGAACGAAUAACUAAAUUCAGCAAGGUUGCAGGUUACAGAAUCAGAAUGCACAAAUCAUCUGUGUUUCUAUACUGAACAAUCCAAAAGGGAAAUUAAGAAAACAAUCCCAUUUAUAACAGC
Aethalodelphis obliquidens (Pacific white-sided dolphin) is the source of this 4444-nucleotide long non-coding RNA. RefSeq lists it as uncharacterized. The transcript is spliced from 3 exons. NCBI's taxonomy places the organism in Eukaryota, Metazoa, Chordata, Mammalia, Artiodactyla, Delphinidae. The record is from RefSeq and is a predicted model, not a curated record.